Molecule: long non-coding RNA, 309 nt
Organism: Topomyia yanbarensis
Lineage: Eukaryota; Metazoa; Arthropoda; Insecta; Diptera; Culicidae
Exons: 4
Source: RefSeq, a predicted model, not a curated record
CGGUUAUCCAUAAUUUGCGGUGAAAUUUCGAGUAUAUAGCAUUCAAAUUAUUAAUAUUAAUCUAGUUAAAUUAUUUCUAUUGAUCGAUCCAUCGUAUCUCAUUUCUUAACUUACCGCGUGGAAUGGUCAAUAGGACAAAACUAAAGCCGAUUAUUAAUUGAAUUGUCUAAGCAACGGUUAUUGGCAGUCCAAGUGCCACCACGCAUAGCUAGUAUCGAGGAAAAGGUGUCAAAAGGAAAACUAUUCAUUUUAAAGCUGCUAACACAGAAAAGGCUGCUAUUAAAAUUUAGUUGUCCGAACUAGAGGUCC